RNAcentral lists this ribosomal RNA (392 nucleotides) under uncultured Alphaproteobacteria bacterium. Its description in RNAcentral is "bacterial SSU rRNA". It matches the Rfam family "Bacterial small subunit ribosomal RNA", at positions 29 to 446 of the family's 1533-position model. The record is from RNAcentral. Lineage: Bacteria; Pseudomonadati; Pseudomonadota; Alphaproteobacteria.
AACGAACGCUGGCGGCAGGCCUAACACAUGCAAGUCGAGCGCGCCUUUCGGGGUGAGCGGCGGACGGGUUAGUAACGCGUGGGAAUAUGCCCAAAGGUACGGAAUAGCCUCUGGAAGCGGAGAGUAAUACCGUAUGUGCCCUUCGGGGGAAAGAUUUAUCGCCUUUGGAUUAGCCCGCGUUAGAUUAGGUAGUUGGUGGGGUAAUGGCCUACCAAGCCUACGAUCUAUAGCUGGUUUUAGAGGAUGAUCAGCAACACUGGGACUGAGACACGGCCCAGACUCCUACGGGAAGCAGCAGUGGGGAAUCUUGGACAAUGGGGGCAACCCUGAUCCAGCCAUGCCGCGUGAGUGAUGAAAGGCCCUAGGGUCGUAAAAGCUCUUUCGCCUGUGAA